CCGGGGCUAAUACCGGAUAGUUCUUUUUUUCGUAUGAUGAAAAGUGGAGAGGUGGCUUCUGCUACCACUUACUGAUGGAGCCGCGGCGCAUUAUCUAGUUGGUGAGGUAACGGCUCACCAAGGCGACGAUGCGUAGCCGACCUGAUAGGGUGAUCGGCCACCCUGGGACUGAUACACGGCCCACACUCCUACGGGAGGCAGCAGUAGGGAAUCUUCCUCAAUGGAGGAAAGUCUGACGGAGCAACGCCGCGUGAGUGAUGAAGGUUUUCGGAUCAUAAAGCUCUGUUGUUAGGGAAGAACAAGUGCCGUUCGAAUAGGGCGGCACCUUGACGGUACCUAACCAGAAAGCCACGGCUAACUACUUGCCACCAGCCGCGGUAAUACGUAGGUGGCGAGCGUUGUCCGGAAUUAUUGGUCGUAAAGCGCGCGCAGGCGGUCUCUU
This 442-nucleotide ribosomal RNA is filed under the name Bacillus sp. (in: firmicutes). RNAcentral's name for it is "bacterial SSU rRNA". It matches the Rfam family "Bacterial small subunit ribosomal RNA", at positions 157 to 584 of the family's 1533-position model. The record is from RNAcentral. Lineage: Bacteria; Bacillati; Bacillota; Bacilli; Caryophanales; Bacillaceae.